GUUUGAUCCUGGCUCAGGACGAACGCUGGCGGCGUGCUUAACACAUGCAAGUCACGGGGGCCCGCAAGGGCAACCGGCGAACGGGUGCGUAACACGUGAGCAAGCUUCCGAUCUGUGGGGGAUAGCCGGCCCAACGGCCGGGUAAUACCACAUACGUUCACCGAGCGGCAUCGCUUGGUGAGGAAACCUCCGGGGCAGAUCGAGGCGCUCGCGGCCUAUCAGCUAGUUGGCGGGGUAACGGCCCACCAAGGCAAUGACGGGUAGCUGGUCUGAGAGGACGACCAGCCACACUGGGACUGAGACACGGCCCAGGCUCCUACGGGAGGCAGCAGUGGGGAAUAUUGGACAAUGGGGGCAACCCUGAUCCAGCAAUGCCGCGUGUGUGAAGAAGGCCUUCGGGUUGUAAAGCACUUUCGAUGGGGAAAAACAAGUUCGACCUAAUACGUCGGACCCUGAUGGUACCCAGAGAAGAAGCACCGGCUAACUACGUGCCAGCAGCCGCGGUAAUACGUAGGGUGCGAGCGUUAAUCGGAAUUACUGGGCGUAAAGCGUGCGUAGGUGGUUUGUUAAGUCAGGCGUGAAAUCCCUGGGCUCAACCUGGGAACUGCGCUUGAUACUGGCAGACUAGAGUGUGGUAGAGGGUAGUGGAAUUCCGCGUGUAGCAGUGAAAUGCGUAGAUAUGCGGAGGAACACCAGUGGCGAAGGCGGCUACCUGGACCAACACUGACACUGAGGCACGAAAGCGUGGGGAGCAAACAGGAUUAGAUACCCUGGUAGUCCACGCCCUAAACGAUGGGUACUAGACGUCGGGAAGUUUAUCUUCUUGGUGUCGCAGCUAACGCAAUAAGUACCCCGCCUGGGGAGUACGGUCGCAAGAUUA
RNAcentral lists this ribosomal RNA (880 nucleotides) under uncultured bacterium. RNAcentral describes it as "bacterial SSU rRNA". It matches the Rfam family "Bacterial small subunit ribosomal RNA", at positions 11 to 896 of the family's 1533-position model. The record is from RNAcentral.